Molecule: unclassified non-coding RNA, 395 nt
Filed under: soil metagenome
Description: partial contains 5.8S ribosomal RNA, internal transcribed spacer 2, and large subunit ribosomal RNA
Rfam family: 5.8S ribosomal RNA (bases 1-120)
Source: RNAcentral
GAUGAAGAACGUAGUGAAAUGCGAUAAGUAAUGUGAAUUGCAGAAUUCAGUGAAUCAUCGAAUCUUUGAACGCAUCUUGCGCUCCUUGGUAUUCCGAGGAGCAUGCCUGUUUGAGUGUCAUUUUAACUUCUCAACCAUAUCGAAUUGUUUUUCGAGGUGGCUUGGACAUGGGGGUUUUUGCAGGCUUUAAUAAUGAAGUCGGCUCCUCUGAAAUGCAUUAGUGGUAUCUGAAGCAGAACUGCUACUAUUAGGUGUGAUAAUUAUCUAUGCCUCUUGGUAUACUGCAUGAACAGAUUGCGCUGCUUCCAACUUGUACACCCUUUGGUGUUUGACAAAUUUGGCCUCAAAUCAGGUAGGACUACCCGCUGAACUUAAGCAUAUCAAUAAGCGGAGGA